RNAcentral lists this long non-coding RNA (220 nucleotides) under Elaeis guineensis (African oil palm). Its description in RNAcentral is "long non-coding RNA (EGUI_LNC035938)". Lineage: Eukaryota; Viridiplantae; Streptophyta; Magnoliopsida; Arecales; Arecaceae. The record is from RNAcentral.
AAGAUUAUGAAGAUAGUGAAUAAUUAUAUUUGUGUAAAUAAAUAUUUAAUUUUUAUUUUUAUUUUUAUUUUUGUGAAUGAAGUUAGAAAAUAAUGGUAUUAUAAAAUUGUAUAAUUUUUUUUGCAGGAUGAGAGGGAUUAGUCGGAGAGGAAGCUAUAGGCUGAUAGAGGAAGGGGAAUAGGGUCUUCUAGGCCAGUCCUUCAUACAGAGGGUGAUGGCA